Molecule: ribosomal RNA, 397 nt
Filed under: uncultured bacterium
Lineage: Bacteria
Description: bacterial SSU rRNA
Rfam family: Bacterial small subunit ribosomal RNA
Source: RNAcentral
GAGCGCCGUAGCAAUACGGAGCGGCAGACGGGAGAGUAACACGUGGGAACGUGCCCUUCAGUUCGGAACAACCCAGGGAAACUUGGGCUAAUACCGGAUACGUCCGUAAGGAGAAAGAUUUAUCGCUGAAGGAUCGGCCCGCGUCUGAUUAGCUAGUUGGUGAGGUAACGGCUCACCAAGGCGACGAUCAGUAGCUGGUCUGAGAGGAUGAUCAGCCUCACUGGGACUGAGACACGGCCCAGACUCCUACGGGAGGCAGCAGUGGGGAAUAUUGGACAAUGGGCGCAAGCCUGAUCCAGCCAUGCCGCGUGGAUGAUGAAGGCCCUAGGGUUGUAAAGUCCUUUCGGCGGGGAAGAUAAUGACGGUACCCGCAGAAUAAGCCCCGGCUAACUUCGUG